ACGGGUGAGUAAUGCCUAGGAAUCUGCCUGGUAGUGGGGGAUAACGCUCGGAAACGGACGCUAAUACCGCAUACGUCCUACGGGAGAAAGCAGGGGACCUUCGGGCCUUGCGCUAUCAGAUGAGCCUAGGUCGGAUUAGCUAGUUGGUGAGGUAAUGGCUCACCAAGGCGACGAUCCGUAACUGGUCUGAGAGGAUGAUCAGUCACACUGGAACUGAGACACGGUCCAGACUCCUACGGGAGGCAGCAGUGGGGAAUAUUGGACAAUGGGCGAAAGCCUGAUCCAGCCAUGCCGCGUGUGUGAAGAAGGUCUUCGGAUUGUAAAGCACUUUAAGUUGGGAGGAAGGGCAUUAACCUAAUACGUUAGUGUUUUGACGUUACCGACAGAAUAAGCACCGGCUAACUCUGUGCCAGCAGCCGCGGUAAUACAGAGGGUGCAAGCGUUAAUCGGAAUUACUGGGCGUAAAGCGCGCGUAGGUGGUUUGUUAAGUUGGAUGUGAAAUCCCCGGGCUCAACCUGGGAACUGCAUUCAAAACUGACAAGCUAGAGUAUGGUAGAGGGUGGUGGAAUUUCCUGUGUAGCG
Molecule: ribosomal RNA, 582 nt
Filed under: Pseudomonas sp. StFRB360
Lineage: Bacteria; Pseudomonadati; Pseudomonadota; Gammaproteobacteria; Pseudomonadales; Pseudomonadaceae
Also listed under: 1 other name
Description: bacterial SSU rRNA
Rfam family: Bacterial small subunit ribosomal RNA
Source: RNAcentral